This 323-nucleotide long non-coding RNA is filed under the name Capsella grandiflora. RNAcentral describes it as "long non-coding RNA (CGRA_LNC000834)". Lineage: Eukaryota; Viridiplantae; Streptophyta; Magnoliopsida; Brassicales; Brassicaceae. The record is from RNAcentral.
GAUGAAUUGGUAGAGGUGACCGAAGAAAGCAGCGAUGAAAGCGAGGAGUACGAUUGCCAAUCCAUAAUAUCAACAUACUCUAAUCUCGAUAACCACCCUGGUAAAAUCAAUGCUCCAUUGUCAGCCAGGCAGAAGAAGCUUAGUGAAACAGUAUCUAAAGCAUUGAAUUCAAAUGGCAAUAUCAUUACCCUCCAAGGAAGAGGAAUGCUUCCAGUUGAGUUUCUACCUGGAAGGAAAGCUGAGCAAACCGUUGUUGAAGCUGAAAUCCCGAAAGCUGAACCGAUCAAGAGGAAGCCUCAUGGUCAAGAGUCGAAGGAAGAGAA